GUCUUUUUAGAAUAUAAUUAAAGGUCUAAUCUGCCCACUGAAAAUUUUUAAAUGGCCGCAGUAAGUUGACUGUGCAAAGGUAGCAUAAUCAAUAGUUUUUUAAUUAAAAACUAGAAUGAAUGAUUGAACGAAAUAAAAUCUGUCUUUAGAUUAUAAGUUGAAUUUUAUGUUUAAGUUAAAAAGCUUAAAUAAUAUUAAAAGACGAGAAGACCCUAUAGAUCUUUAUAGUAAUUAAUUAUUUUUAUUAAGGAAAUAGAUUAUAUUUUAAUUUAAAAACUAUUUUAUUGGGGUAAUAGAAAGAUUAGUUUAAUUCUUUUUUUUAUAGACAAUUAUUUUUGGUUAGUUGAUCCAUUAUUAAUGAUUAGAAGAUUAAGUUACCUUAGGGAUAACAGCGUAAUUUUUUUUAAGAGUUCAUAUCGAUAAAAAAGUUUGCGACCUCGAUGUUGGAUUAAAAAUUAUUCUAGGUGUAGAAGUUUAGAAUUUUGGUCUGUUCGACCAUUAAAUUUUUACA
RNAcentral lists this ribosomal RNA (511 nucleotides) under Ereboporus naturaconservatus. RNAcentral's name for it is "partial 16S ribosomal RNA". It matches the Rfam family "Bacterial large subunit ribosomal RNA", at positions 1829 to 2600 of the family's 2925-position model. The record is from RNAcentral. Lineage: Eukaryota; Metazoa; Arthropoda; Insecta; Coleoptera; Dytiscidae.